UUUCGCAAUGCCCGAAAGGGUGACGAAGCGACGCCGCGUGCGGGAAGAAGGCCUUCGGGUUGUAAACCGCUGUCGGGAGUUAAGAAAUGCAAGGGUGUUAACAGCAUCCUUGCUUGGCUAAGGCUCCGGAGGAAGCCACGGCUAACUCUGUGCCAGCAGCCGCGGUAAUACAGAGGCGGCAAGCGUUGUUCGGAAUUAUUGGGCGUAAAGAGCACGUAGGCGGCUGUGUAAGUCGGUUGUGAAAGCCUUCCGCUCAACGGGAGAACGGCAUCCGAUACUGCAUGGCUUGAGUGCGGGAGGGGAGAGUGGAACUUCUGGUGGAGCGGUGAAAUGCGUAGAUAUCAGAAGGAACACCGGCGGCGAAGGCGACUCUCUGGCCCGUAACUGACGCUGAGUGUGCGAAAGCUAGGGGAGCAAACGGGAUUAGAUACCCCGGUAGUCCUAGCCGUAAACGAUGGGCACUAAGUAGAGGGGUUUU
RNAcentral lists this ribosomal RNA (478 nucleotides) under uncultured bacterium. RNAcentral's name for it is "bacterial SSU rRNA". It matches the Rfam family "Bacterial small subunit ribosomal RNA", at positions 364 to 832 of the family's 1533-position model. The record is from RNAcentral.